RNAcentral lists this ribosomal RNA (112 nucleotides) under Candidatus Kinetoplastidibacterium kentomonadis. The record is from RNAcentral. Lineage: Bacteria; Pseudomonadati; Pseudomonadota; Betaproteobacteria.
UGAUCACUAUAGCAAAGUUGAUCCACUCCUUCCCAUCUCGAACAGGAAAGUUAAACGCUUUUGCGCCGAUGAUAGUAGAUGUACAUCUGUGAAAGUAGGUUAUGGUCAGGCU